GUAUCUUAGGCAAAUCCGGGGUACUCUAUGCUGAGAUCUGAUAGCAAGCUGUACUUGUACAGCGAAGUGGUUGAUGCCAUGCUUCCAGGAAAAGUCUCUAAGCUUCAGUUACACAGGAAUCGUACCCGAAACCGACACAGGUGGUCAGGUCGAGUAGACCAAGGCGCUUGAGAGAACUCUGCUGAAGGAACUAGGCAAAAUGGUACCGUAACUUCGGGAGAAGGUACGCUGUUGUUGGUGAUGGAACUCGCUUCCUGAGCUGACGACAGCCGCAGAAACCAGGCCGCUGCAACUGUUUAUUAAAAACAUAGCACUCUGCAAACACGAAAGUGGACGUAUAGGGUGUGAUGCCUGCCCGGUGCUGGAAGGUUAAUUGAUGGGGUUAGCGUAAGCGAAGCUCUUGAUCGAAGCCCCAGUAAACGGCGGCCGUAACUAUAACGGUCCUAAGGUAGCGAAAUUCCUUGUCGGGUAAGUUCCGACCUGCACGAAUGGCAUAAUGAUGGCGGCGCUGUCUCCAGCAGAGGCUCAGUGAAAUCGAAAUCGCUGUGAAGAUGCAGUGUACCCGCGGCUAGACGGAAAGACCCCGUGAACCUUUACUGCAGCUUGACACUGAACUUUGACCUUACUUGUGUAGGAUAGGUGGGAGGCUUUGAAGCUGGAACGCUAGUUCCAGUGGAGCCGUCCUUGAAAUACCACCCUGGUAAUGUUGAGGUUCUAACUCUGUCCCGUGAUCCGGGACGAGGACCGUGUCUGGUGGGUAGUUUGACUGGGGCGGUCUCCUCCUAAAGAGUAACGGAGGAGUACGAAGGUGCGCUCAGCGUGGUCGGAAAUCACGCGUAGAGUAUAAAGGCAAAAGCGCGCUUAACUGCGAGACCCACAAGUCGAGCAGGUACGAAAGUAGGUCUUAGUGAUCCGGUGGUUCUGUAUGGAAGGGCCAUCGCUCAACGGAUAAAAGGUACUCUGGGGAUAACAGGCUGAUACCGCCCAAGAGUUCAUAUCGACGGCGGUGUUUGGCACCUCGAUGUCGGCUCAUCUCAUCCUGGGGCUGAAGCAGGUCCCAAGGGUAUGGCUGUUCGCCAUUUAAAGAGGUACGCGAGCUGGGUUUAGAACGUCGUGAGACAGUUCGGUCCCUAUCUACCGUGGGCGCUGGAAAUUUGAGAGGAUCUGCUCCUAGUACGAGAGGACCAGAGUGGACGAACCUCUGGUGUACCGGUUGUGACGCCAGUCGCAUCGCCGGGUAGCUAUGUUCGGAAGGGAUAACCGCUGAAAGCAUCUAAGCGGGAAGCCUACCUCAAGAUAAGAUUUCCCUAGGACUUUAUGUCCUCUAAAGAGCCGUUCGAGACUAGGACGUUGAUAGGUUGGAUGUGGAAGCAUAGUGAUAUGUGAAGCUGACCAAUACUAAUUGCUCGUGAGGCUUGACUAU
This 1423-nucleotide ribosomal RNA is filed under the name Acinetobacter baumannii. RNAcentral's name for it is "partial 23S ribosomal RNA". It matches the Rfam family "Bacterial large subunit ribosomal RNA", at positions 1527 to 2925 of the family's 2925-position model. Lineage: Bacteria; Pseudomonadati; Pseudomonadota; Gammaproteobacteria; Moraxellales; Moraxellaceae. The record is from RNAcentral.